UACAGAGGUCCCAAGCGUUGUUCGGAUUCACUGGGCGUAAAGGGUGCGUAGGCGGUCGGGUAAGUCUGAUGUGAAAUCUCACAGCUUAACUGUGAGACUGCAUUGGAUACUAUCCGGCUAGAGGAAUGGAGGGGAGACUGGAAUACUUGGUGUAGCAGUGAAAUGCGUAGAUAUCAAGUGGAACACCAGUGGCGAAGGCGAGUCUCUGGACAUUUCCUGACGCUGAGGCACGAAAGCCAGGGGAGCAAACGGG
RNAcentral lists this ribosomal RNA (253 nucleotides) under uncultured bacterium. RNAcentral describes it as "partial 16S ribosomal RNA". It matches the Rfam family "Bacterial small subunit ribosomal RNA", at positions 524 to 776 of the family's 1533-position model. The record is from RNAcentral.